This is a long non-coding RNA of Bombyx mandarina (wild silkworm), 718 nucleotides long. RefSeq lists it as uncharacterized. The record is from RefSeq and is a predicted model, not a curated record. NCBI's taxonomy places the organism in Eukaryota, Metazoa, Arthropoda, Insecta, Lepidoptera, Bombycidae.
GAUAUGGGUGAUUAUACAAAAAUUGGGUAACUCUAUGUCAUCAGCCAAUAUAUACAAAGUCUUAUUAUAUUUUAUUGAAAUACCAAUUUAUUUUAAAACAACGAAACGUCCUUUAUUUGGUCACCCAAUUUCACUUCUUUAUUUUAAAUACAAGUUAGUAAAAAAACCAAAUUAAUACUUAAAACGUCAGUCCUUUGGCAUGUCACAAUCCCGAAAACUAACAAUCAAGUGACUAUCCAUUAAACAUUAUCAUUGAUUUAAGAAAACUUACUAAUUUACUACAAUCUGUGAUGUAUAUAGUAUUAUAUACUACAACUUUCAUAAUGCAAUGUUCUCCAUUUUAUUUAAAAAAAAAUAAGAAACUUUGUGUUCGUUUCAUUGGUCAGUCCGUUGUGUGUUCUUUAAAAUUUGAAAAUCUCGCCAAAUAUCAUCGAGUCAAGGUCAAAUCCCUGUUUAAGCUUUAAUGUUGAUAAUGAAGUUAGUGUCGGACCGCACAAUUUGACGGUCGCCAUAACUAUAUCACUGCUUGGGUUGUGUUUGUCGUCUACACACGUGCGAAGCCAGUCAAAAUUUCAGUCCUGUGUGUAAAACAUCAUGCGACACUCUAAAAAACUAGGGAAGAAAUAUUUAAAAAAAAGAGAGAAGCCGGAGAGGCUCGCUUGGACAGAAUUAAAAGUGAUCCUAUUAAAUUAACGGAAUACAAAAAAAAAACAAAAUU